This 72-nucleotide transfer RNA is filed under the name Capra hircus (goat). It matches the Rfam family "tRNA". From Rfam's summary of the family: Transfer RNA (tRNA) molecules are approximately 80 nucleotides in length. Their secondary structure includes four short double-helical elements and three loops (D, anti-codon, and T loops). Further hydrogen bonds mediate the characteristic L-shaped molecular structure. tRNAs have two regions of fundamental functional importance: the anti-codon, which is responsible for specific mRNA codon recognition, and the 3' end, to which the tRNAs corresponding amino acid is attached (by aminoacyl-tRNA synthetases). tRNAs cope with the degeneracy of the genetic code in two manners: having more than one tRNA (with a specific anti-codon) for a particular amino acid; and 'wobble' base-pairing, i.e. permitting non-standard base-pairing at the 3rd anti-codon position. RNAcentral also lists the same sequence under 1 other name. Lineage: Eukaryota; Metazoa; Chordata; Mammalia; Artiodactyla; Bovidae. The record is from Rfam by way of RNAcentral.
UCCCUGGUAGUCCAGUGGUUAGGACUUUGACUUCCAAGGCACAGGAUGCAGGUUUGAUUCCUGUUCAGAGAG